GUCCCAGAGCACUGUGUUUAGAUCUCCCAACCUGCCAAGCAGGGCUACACUGGAGUUAGUACUUGGGUGGGAGACCUCUAAAGAAAACCUGAGGUCCUGUGGGAGG
This 106-nucleotide ribosomal RNA is filed under the name Crocodylus porosus (Australian saltwater crocodile). Lineage: Eukaryota; Metazoa; Chordata; Crocodylia; Crocodylidae. The record is from RNAcentral.